GGAAGGAGAAGUCGUAACAAGGUUUCCGUAGGUGAACCUGCGGAAGGAUCAUUGUCGAAACCUGCCCGGCAGAACGACCUGUGAACUAGUGAAAACAUCGGAGGGCGGCGUGCCAUGUGCAUGCUCCCCUCCUCCCGCCACAGGUGCGAGACUCGUCCCGUUCUCUGUGGCGGAAUAACAAACCCCCGGCGCGGAUUGCGCCAAGGAAAUCUAACGAGAGAGCACGCUCCUGGGCCCCAGAUACGGUGUGCCUCGGGAUGCGGCGCCUUCUUUCACUUUAUCAUAUAACGACUCUCGGCAACGGAUAUCUCGGCUCUCGCAUCGAUGAAGAACGCAGCGAAAUGCGAUACUUGGUGUGAAUUGCAGAAUCCCGUGAACCAUCGAGUCUUUGAACGCAAGUUGCGCCCCAAGCCGUCAGGCCGAGGGCACGUCUGCCUGGGUGUCACGCAUCAUUGCCCCACCCCGCCCCCCCAAGGGCAUGGCGGUGAGGGCGAAUAAUGGCUUCCCGUGCGCUCCCGCUCGCGGUUGGCCCAAAUUCGAGUCCUCGGCGACCGAAGCCGCGACGAUCUGUGGUGUAAACAAACCUCUCGAGAUCACGUCGCGCGCAUGUCUCCGAAUUCGGACUCAGGGACCCUGACGCUCCGUGCAAACGGAACUCGCAUCGCGACCCCAGGUCAGGCGGGAUUACCCGCUGAGUUUAAGC
This 703-nucleotide small RNA is filed under the name Lunasia amara. RNAcentral's name for it is "eukaryotic LSU rRNA". The stretch from base 290 to 445 matches the Rfam family "5.8S ribosomal RNA". Lineage: Eukaryota; Viridiplantae; Streptophyta; Magnoliopsida; Sapindales; Rutaceae. The record is from RNAcentral.